GAAUAUUGCGCAAUGGGCGAAAGCCUGACGCAGCAACGCCGCGUGAGGGAUGACGGCCUUCGGGUUGUAAACCUCUUUCAGCCCCGACGAAGCGUGAGUGACUGUAGGGGAAGAAGAAGCACCGGCUAACUACGUGCCAGCAGCCGCGGUAAUACGUAGGGUGCGAGCGUUGUCCGGAAUUAUUGGGCGUAAAGGGCUCGUAGGCGGCCUGUUGCGUCUGCUGUGAAAUCCCGGGGCUUAACCCCGGGUCUGCAGUGGAUACGGGCAGGCUAGAGUCCGGCAGGGGAGACUGGAAUUCCUGGUGUAGCGGUGAAAUGCGCAGAUAUCAGGAGGAACACCGGUGGCGAAGGCGGGUCUCUGGGCCGGUACUGACGCUGAGGAGCGAAAGCGUGGGGAGCGAACAGG
Molecule: ribosomal RNA, 405 nt
Filed under: uncultured bacterium
Lineage: Bacteria
Description: bacterial SSU rRNA
Rfam family: Bacterial small subunit ribosomal RNA
Source: RNAcentral